GGAGGAUUAGCUCAGUUGGGAGAGCGUCUGCCUUACAAGCAGAGGGUCACAGGUUCGAGCACUGUAUCCUCCA
RNAcentral lists this transfer RNA (73 nucleotides) under Lacticaseibacillus paracasei. RNAcentral describes it as "Lactobacillus paracasei tRNA-Val". It matches the Rfam family "tRNA". From Rfam's summary of the family: Transfer RNA (tRNA) molecules are approximately 80 nucleotides in length. Lineage: Bacteria; Bacillati; Bacillota; Bacilli; Lactobacillales; Lactobacillaceae. The record is from RNAcentral.